AGUGAACGCUGGCGGUAGGCCUAACACAUGCAAGUCGAACGGCAGCACAGUAAGAACUUGCUCUUACGUGCGGCGAGUGUCGGACGGUUGAGGAAGACAUCGGAAUCUACUUUUUCGUGGGGGAUAACGUAGGGAAACUUACUCUAAUACCGCAUACGACCUACGUGUGUAAGCAGGGGAUCUUCUAACCUUUCGCGAUUGAAUGAGCCGAUCUCGGAUUAGCUAGUUGGCUGGGCAAAGGCCAACCAAGGCGACUCUCCGUAGCUGAUAUGAAAGGAUGAUCCGACACACUGGAUCUGAGAAUCGUCCCCGACUCCUGCAGGAGGCAGCAGUGGGGACUACUGGACGAUGGGCGCGAGCCUGAUCCAGCCAUAUCGCGUGGGUCCAGAAGGACUUCGGGUUCUAAAGCCCUUAUGUUGGGAAAGAAAAGAAGCAGGUUAACACCCCGCUGUUCUGACGGUACCCAAAGAAUAAGCUCCGGCUAACUUCGUG
RNAcentral lists this ribosomal RNA (492 nucleotides) under uncultured bacterium. RNAcentral describes it as "partial 16S ribosomal RNA". It matches the Rfam family "Bacterial small subunit ribosomal RNA", at positions 29 to 507 of the family's 1533-position model. The record is from RNAcentral.